CAUAGCGACUAUCGUGGCAUAUCAAUAAGCGGAGGAAAAGAAACUAACAAGGAUUCCCCUAGUAACGGCGAGUGAAGCGGGAAGAGCUCAAAUUUGAAAUCUUAAAGGGUUUCCCUUUACGAAUUGUAGUUUAAAGAAGUGUUUUCUGUUGGAGUUUCGGUAAAAGUUCUUUGGAAUAGGACAUCAUAGAGGGUGAGAAUCCCGUAUUUGACCGUUACUUUCCAACUGUGUGAUACACUUUCAAAGAGUCGGAUUGUUUGGGAAUGCAGUCCAAAAUGGGUGGUAAAUUUCAUCUAAAGCUAAAUAUUGGCGAGAGACCGAUAGCGAACAAGUACCGUGAGGGAAAGAUGAAAAGAACUUUGAAAAGAGAGUUAAACAGUACGUGAAAUUGUCAAAAGGGAAGCGUUUGACACCAGUGUUGUUUAGUUGAAAAUCAAUUCAAUAAUUUUUGAUUUUGAGUAGUAUUGACUUCAUCAGCUUGCUGCUUUCUUUUCGGAAAUUAUUGAAUGCACUUUUCAGUUAACAAGUCAACAUCAAUUUCUUUUGUUGUAAAAGGGUAAGAGGAAGGUGGCUUACGCUUCGGCGUAAGUGUUUAUAGCCUUUUACCUCUGCAAUCGGAGAGAUUGAGGACAGCAGCGUAGACUCUUCGGGGUUAGAUACAUUUGUGCUAAGUUAUAGCUUGUCAUAGACAACUUGUUGACUAUGUUUAGUCGUGUAGCUUACUCGCAUGAUGCUAUUUUACCUACGCUUAGGAUGUUGACGAGACUGUCGAUCUC
RNAcentral lists this ribosomal RNA (776 nucleotides) under uncultured Neocallimastigales. RNAcentral describes it as "partial large subunit ribosomal RNA". It matches the Rfam family "Eukaryotic large subunit ribosomal RNA", at positions 22 to 646 of the family's 3401-position model. Lineage: Eukaryota; Fungi; Neocallimastigomycota; Neocallimastigomycetes; Neocallimastigales. The record is from RNAcentral.